UUGUAACAUUGCUAAAGAAAGAAUAAUAUCUGGAUAGCCAUUCCUCCCCAAGGCUAUCUAUAUUGCCUUUUAAGAGGCAAUGCAGAUUGCCAUCCAAAAAGCAUAUGAAACACAAUAAUCAAGUGGGCCCAUAUUAAAUUGUCGGCAAUCUGGAUAGAUUACCAGCUAUCAAAUGCAACCUUGGUCCCGUGGUUUGCAUGCC
RNAcentral lists this long non-coding RNA (202 nucleotides) under Elaeis guineensis (African oil palm). RNAcentral's name for it is "long non-coding RNA (EGUI_LNC062955)". The record is from RNAcentral. Lineage: Eukaryota; Viridiplantae; Streptophyta; Magnoliopsida; Arecales; Arecaceae.